RNAcentral lists this long non-coding RNA (5914 nucleotides) under Homo sapiens (human). Its description in RNAcentral is "HSALNT0334584". The record is from RNAcentral. Lineage: Eukaryota; Metazoa; Chordata; Mammalia; Primates; Hominidae.
GACCCUUAGGAGAAAACGUAGCUCCUCAAAUGAUGCUAUAUAACCAAGAGGACAUCACAGACUGGACAGUGGCAAUCUUCUGACCCUCUAGCCUUCCAAAGAAUGCCUACUGUUAACCAGAUGUCUCUGGAAGUUCUGAGAUUCAUGCUUAAAGGGACCCUAGACCAAGGCCCCUGGUUGGGCAAAAGGUAUGGUGGGUAGAUCACGCUUGCUGGUUGCCACAGAAUUUCUUGUGCAAGAUAAUGAAAGAUAAGGCUGCCAAAAUGGUACUGACAAUCUGAUAUUGGGCAACUUUUACCUAAAUCUGACAGAGAAAGAGUUCAGAGCUUAGAGCUACUUAUAGUUCACUGCUGGUCCUUGGACUUGAGCUGCAUGUUUGGUUCCAUGGAAUGGGGACUUCUAGCACAUCUGUAUUUCCAUAGCAGUGUCAACUCCAGCCUACAACACUCGAGAGAACCACAUUCCUUCUCCACCUGCUGGUAGUUAGGCUCUAUGAAGAACUGUCACAUGCACUGGUUGGACUAUAAACAAGAAUGUAAUAUACCUUUUCUCCACUCAUUCUAUUCCAUUCCCUACCUUCCUCCAUUUGUCAGGUGGUCCUAAGGAUGAGUAAGCUUAUUUUCUGGGAAUUUUCCAGAUUCUUGCUUCUCAUUUUGAAAUGCUAAUGGGACCUUUAGAUUAGUCAGUGUCUUCUCUUGCCUCUAAUGGAUGUAGUGAUUUUAUACUCUCCCUGGUUGGUCUUAAGCUCUGCAAAAGAAGGGAUGACAGUCUUUGAAUGAGACUACUCUUCUUGCUCAAACUGCAGGCUCCUCUAUUGCCCUCACGUCUUGUAGUAGUGCAUAGAUGGGAGAACAAUAGUUGAACUAAAAUAGAUCACAUUCUAGGAAGGUGGUGAUUAAUGCCUGAGAGUUCAAUAAAUGGUUGGAGGUGUUGUUCAAUCUUUAUGCUGUAAAAUUCCUAGCCAUAAGUUUGACAUGAGCAGAAACAAAUUAUCAUUCACAUUUUCCUUCAUAUUCUGGAUAAGACUUAUAUUUGUGGUCAUCACCAACACCUCACGGUAACAAUCAAGAGAAUCAUUAAAACCUUCCUUCACAGGCAGCACGAUGGUGCAGCAUCAGUAGUAAUGACAAAAUCAGCAAUAAAGAAAAUGGCUAAAACUGCAAAGGCAAACUAUAUAUUGUUUCAAUAAAAACAGGUUCUGAGGAACCAUGACCUUAUGAGUAAUAAAAGCAUUCCUGACUUUUUCAAAUAGUGGCAAGACCUGAAAUUUGUGAGGAUCAGGCAUUUGUUUCCAGGCUCUAUGAAGAAUCUUAACAUGCACGGACUGAACAACAAACUAAUAUGUAAUAUACCUCUUCCAUACUCAUUCUAAAUCUUCCCUGACACAUAGCAAUUCCUCACAUGGACCCCAAAAUUUUGUGUAGCAUUUUCAAAUUAAAUUAUGUGUGCAAACAGGCAUUCUGUAAAAAAAAAAUUUGUUGUGAUGGUGCACACCCAAAGAUUAAUUCUGCUAGAAUGCUAUUUCUGCUCUUAACAUAUUUUCUCUUAAAAUUAGAUACCAAGAUUUACCAUAUAGGAAACAAGUAUUUCCAAAAACAAAAAUCAAAUUAUGCAUUAUUACCUAUAAAAUUCUAUCCUCUUCUAUUCUACUACUAACAGGCAUACAUUUUUGGCUAAAUGAAUCUCAGAUAAACACCUCCACUUCAAAACCAAUUCCAACACCUUUAAUCCAUAAAAGGCAUUUUCUAGUUCCUCAUAUUCACGAUCUCAGUAUGAAAUACGCUGGUACUCAUUUCCUGCUCUCUUUUUCUCCCAAUUAAUAAUCUAAAAAAUGCAAUGAAGAUUUUUUUUUUACUGUUUUGAAGCUAGGAGAAGGGAAUAAUGUUCUCUCUAAUUUUCCUGACUUCUCUUUCAAAAUAUGCAUCUAUACGUAAUAAUUAUAUAUGUAUGUAUAUAUCACAUACACACACUAUAUACAUAUAUAAUUUAUAAUUUGCAGCUAGCUCUGCUUCACCUUGGUGAAUUCUUUCUUUUUAGUGUACCUUUUUUAUUUCUCUGGAAAGAUGGAGAUACAAUGAAGGACUAGCAAAGGAGAAUGGCUCAAGGGUGUAUGUUCUUUUCUAGACUCUACCACAGCUGUUUUAUUGUUUUGUCACUCUUUGUUUCUCAGUUACCUUAAUGUAAACUAAGGGUUUUGUAACUCAGUGAUGUUUUGCUAGGUGUGUUGUAAAGAAUUUUUAACCUUGCUUAAAGAGAGAUCUGGUCUUUGCUGUCUACUUCUGAGAGAUAAUUUCUAAAUUCUUAAGAUGUCACGCCUUAUAAAAUGUCUCUGUGUGCCUGAGCAUCUGGGGUCACACCAGAUACUCAAUCAGUGUCAUCUAGGGUGGGGACUUCAGGUCAUGAAGUAUCAAUUCAAAUUCCUGGACACUGAAGUGGGCUGACUAGGGUGAUAGCUCAUGUGUAUUGCCACACAUUGCUGGGAAAAGUAGCAUUGUCUGUGACUGCCCUGGGAAACGACAACUGGAAGCUCUACUCUUGAAACUUCCUGGAGCUCUGCCUUACGUGUCUCUUCUAUUUGCUGAUUUUAAGUAUAUAUAUAUUUUUUACUAUAAUAAAUCAUAUUCAUGAGUAUAAUAACUUUUAUUUAAUUCAUUUAGCCCUUCUAGUGAAUUAUCAAAACUGAGGGUGGUCUUGGAGAACUCUGGACUUGCAAUUUGGGAUCAGGCGAAGCUGGUUUUAGAGUCUGCCCCCUAAUUUUGCACCAGGAAUGAGAAAUGCAUCUUCUUCUACUCAUCCUUCAGAGCACAGUUUAAACUUCACUUUUUCAGAAAAUUAUUUUCUGAUUCCAACGGCAUUUUUUUUUCAUUUAAUAGUAUAUUGGUUCUUAUGCACUGACUGAACAGUAAACAAACAUGUCAUUCUUAUGUUGAAGUCCUAAUUCUCAGUGUGAUUGCAGUUGGAGACAGGAUGUUUAAAGAGGUAAUUAAAGUUAAGUGAGCUCAUAAGUGUGGGGUUCUAAUCCAAUAGGAUCGUGUCCUUAUAAGAAGAGAAAGAGACACUGGGGAUGCACACUUCAGAUGUCCAUGUGUGGGCAAAGCAAGAAGAAAAGCCUUGCAGGCCAAGGAGAAAGGUUUCAGGAGAAGUUAAGCCUGCAAACAUAUUGAUCUCAAACUUUCAGACUCCAGAACUGUGACAAAUGAACUUCUGUUUUUUAAGCCAUCCUAUCUGUGGUAUUUUGUUAUGGCAGCUCUUACAGACUAAUACUGUUCUUCACAUCGUAUUUUCUCAUCAUGCUAGCAAAUUCACUUAAAUGUUAUUUAGUACAAUUGAAAUUCAAUAAUAAAUCGCAUGAUUCUAUCACUUCUCGGCCUUUUGGGUAAGAUCAAGUGUAAUUAAUUGCAUGAUUCCUAAUUUAAUGUGUUUUCAUUCCCUUCUCAUUCACACUCGCUUGAGUAUCUUCUUAAUGAUAUCAGUGAUCUCGCUUGCUGCUCAGUCGCCAAAAUUUUGUAUAGUGAAGCAGAGUAGAUACUUAAUAGUGGUUGAAUGAGUGAAUGAAUAAAAAAUGAAUUCAUAAAAGAUUGAAUAGCUAAUAAAAUUUCUGUAGGUGAAUAUUUACUGUAUAACUAACAUUUGAGAGACUUCUCCAGUUACCUAUACCCUAUUAUCAAUAUAACUUUAUUCAUGCUCUGAGCCUGAAGAUUCAUUGAUCAGUGACCGACUUCUAGAUCUGACAAUGAACAAGUCUCAUCUCAGCCUAAAUCAUGACUGUAACCACAAAUGAACUUGGUUGGAGCAAAUCACAAAAACAUACUGUUCUCAGCAUAAAUUCACUGUCACUAAUUUCAGGGAAGCGGGAGCAUGGGAGCAUGAUUCUUAGUGCUGCCUGGCAAUCCUAUCACAUUUCCUGGUUCCUUCAAUUUUUCACUCUGUUAGUGAAUUAUUUCAUGUCCUUUCCUCAAUUCUGACAUCAACACAGCCUUUUCCCAUUUUUUAAAAUCUUAGUUGAUGAACUUUAUACUUCACUAAAAAAAUUGGGGCAGUAAGUAGGGAACUUUAUCAAUUUUCAUGACAAUUGCUAUUCCCCUAUUUCACAGGCAGGAAUUACCUCAGUUCUCUCCUAUACUACUCUGAGUGAAUUCUCUAUGCUACUGUGAUCCUAGCUAAUGAUGACACCUCUGCUUUUGCUUUAGAUGCAUCCUUCUUAUCUACUCAAUGAUGUCACUCUAGCAACUCUCAUUUUCUCUUUCAUCAUCAAUUUUCUUUGCCAAUAAUUUUUUUCAUCACUUAAAGUGUUUUAAAAUUUUCAAGGAUAAAUAUUGAAACCACAAUCUGUCUUGACCUCAUCUGACCUUUAAUUACUGAACCAUUUGCUUUGUUCCAUUUACUGACAAACUCUUUAAAAUAAUGUUCUACAUUUUCUCACCAAUUGCCAUCUUCUAAUUCUCUCUUGAACUAGGUUUUUGCUUCUUCUCCACUUUUGAAAUUGCUUUAAUCAUGAUCUCCAAAGAUUUUCACAUGCUAAAUUCAUUGACCAUUUAUUUGACUUUAUAUUCCUUGGCUUAUAGCAAUAGUCGACACAUGCUCUUAAGUCGGUUUAUACCACACUUACCUGGUUGUCUCCUAAUAUAUUGGCCAUUUCUCGUUAGUCUCUUAUACUGGUUCUUCAUCUCAGUUGUCUUUAAAUUUUGGAAUACCCCAAGGCUUAAUCCUAGAAGCAUUACCAAUACUCAUUCCAAAGAAGAUCUUAUUAUCUCAUUCUAUCUGAUGAUUUUAAAUGUCAUUUAAAAGUUGCUGAUUCUAUUUUUAAAAAUCUCUAGCCUGACCUUUCUCUUGAACUUUAUACAAAUAUCCAACUUACUGUUUGACCUUUCCAAUUAAAUAUUUGACCUCAUAUGGCCAAAUUGAGCUCUUGACAGAUAGGCACAUCCUUGCCAAACUUUUACCUCUCACAGUUUUCAAUUCCAUUUCAUAGCAACUCUAUUUUAUAACUACUCAAACAAAAAUUUUAGCAUCAUUCACGGCCUGCAAGGAUGUAAGUCACAUCCUCAUUGUUUGUCCCCAGCAAUUCUUUUGGCUCUACCUUCAAAAUGUAUCAGGAAUGUGGUUACUUCUCACACACCCACUCUUGCCAUUAUGAAGAGGAAAGUCUUCUAGGAGUGUCAGAAUAAUAGAAAUUAAGAGGAGAAAAGGUAUUUUAAUGAGUAUUAUUACAAAUUACAUAUAAGAACCACUUUAAAUAGUUUAGAAAUAUGUGAAUUAAGAUUGAAAUUCCCAUUUGUAGGACUGAAUAAUAUAGACUACAGCUUUAUUUGUAUUUCUAUAUUGUAUUCAUUGUUAUUUACGAAUGGGAAAACUGAGCGCUAGUUUAAUAAUUUGUCUAAGAUUACAUGAGUCAACAAUAGGUACUCUAGAAUUAAAAUUAGAGAUGGCUUCUUCCAGGAUUUUCAGAGUUUGCCAGAUCAGCUCUCAAAUUAAAUUAAAAACCAUAACAACUUGAAUGAAAUCAUGCCUGCUUAAGAAAAUAGGAAAUAAGUAGGAAUGUCUAGGAUGUUUUAUUAUUUUCCAACGUUUAUUGAUUAACACCUACUAUAUUACAAGUCUGACCUAGGUUUGAGAUGAGACAACUAUAUUGUUGCCACAAUCUUCCUAGAAUUCCAUUCCUCAAAGUUUUAUUGUAGAUUUUGAAUUAUUUGCCUUACUUCUCAUUACAUUCAAUUUUUCAAACUCAUUUCUUAUCCCUGGAGUGCUUUACACAUUUGUAUCUUCUCUUCUCAAAUCUUGGAAUCUGAUCCUUAUAUCUGGCUCAUGAUCAACCCUGACACAGAUGUUAGCUAUCUUCUUGUCUCUAACUUGUGCAUUCUGCUAACUUAAAGUUUUUUGAAAGGCAGCAGUCUCCUGUUUUCAGCAAAAGGUA